RNAcentral lists this unclassified non-coding RNA (337 nucleotides) under soil metagenome. RNAcentral describes it as "partial contains 5.8S ribosomal RNA, internal transcribed spacer 2, and large subunit ribosomal RNA". The stretch from base 1 to 120 matches the Rfam family "5.8S ribosomal RNA", at positions 35 to 154 of the family's 154-position model. The record is from RNAcentral.
GAUGAAGAACGCAGCGAAAUGCGAUAAGUAGUGUGAAUUGCAGAAUUCAGUGAAUCAUCGAAUCUUUGAACGCACAUUGCGCCCUUUGGUAUUCCAAAGGGCAUGCCUGUUCGAGCGUCAUUUGUACCCUCAAGCUUUGCUUGGUGUUGGGCGUCUUGUCUCUCUCCCGAGACUCGCCUUAAAAUCAUUGGCAGCCGGCCUACUGGUUUCGGAGCGCAGCACAUUAUUUGCGCUCUUGUCCAGCCGCGGUCGCGCGUCCAUGAAGCUUCUUUCAAACUUUUGACCUCGGAUCAGGUAGGGAUACCCGCUGAACUUAAGCAUAUCAAUAAGCGGAGGA